AUUGAGUGGAGCAGGAACCACUUUAAUAAACGGGGCGUCUUUUUCCGAAAAGCCUUACGAGUAGGAAAACA
This is a regulatory RNA element of Flavobacterium subsaxonicum, 71 nucleotides long. It matches the Rfam family "DUF805 RNA". The record is from Rfam. NCBI's taxonomy places the organism in Bacteria, Pseudomonadati, Bacteroidota, Flavobacteriia, Flavobacteriales, Flavobacteriaceae.